RNAcentral lists this ribosomal RNA (1392 nucleotides) under Triticum aestivum (bread wheat). RNAcentral describes it as "partial small subunit ribosomal RNA". Lineage: Eukaryota; Viridiplantae; Streptophyta; Magnoliopsida; Poales; Poaceae. The record is from RNAcentral.
AUGGGCGAGCGGCUCGCCGGCGCCGAGAAAGAGGUGCUCGUGGAGAUCGUGAGGUUCACCCAGAAGAACGGCCUGAAGGGGGCCGAGGGGGGAUGGAAGGAUUUCCUGGCCCGGAACGACAAGAAGUUCGGCGCCUCCGUCAGCGACCCCAAGAAGCGGACCAAGGACGUGCUGCUCGCGUUCCUUGUAACCUUCUCCAAAGAUUUUCAGAAGUACUUCCGCAAAUUGGUGAGGCGUCACGCUGAACGGAGAGCUAUCGAGCAGUACAUGAAUGAGUUUUCCGGCAAGGUUUCUCCUGAGCAGAAGCUUGUUCAGUUGACGACAGAACACCUUGACUACAGGAAAAACUACUACUUCCCAUCUUAUCAAGAGGGGUGGAAAAUAAUGCGGAUAGGAAAAGUUUCUAGUAGUAUGAACUCUGGAGUCAUGUUGGCAAUUGACUGUGAGAUGGUCCUUUGCCACGAUGGUACAGAAGCUGUCGUCCGAGUAUGUGUUGUAGACAACAAACUGGAGGUGAAGUUGGAUACACUUGUAAAUCCCCUCAAAGCUGUUGCAGAUUACAGGACACACAUCACUGGUGUAUCUAAGAAGGAUUUAGAAGGAGUCACAUGCUCAUUAGUUGAUAUUCAGAAAUCAUUGAAGAAAAUCUUGGCCAAAGGAAAGAUUUUGGUUGGCCAUAGCUUAUAUAGAGAUCUAUAUGCUCUCAAGUUUGAUUACAGUCGAGUCAUUGAUACGGCAUACAUCUUUAAGUAUGCGAAUUUACCUACUACUUCAACAGCUUCUUUGAACAGCCUUUGCAAGUCUGUUUGUGGGUAUUCCGUUCGGGAGGACGGAGAACCACAUAACUGCUUGAAGGAUGCAGAAGCUGCGAUGAAUCUAGUUACUGCAAAGCUCAAGCAUGGAUUUAAUGAUCCCAUCGAAAUUGCGGAGAAUAGUGUACCUGAACCUGACCAGAUGAAGUUGCUUGCUCAUAGAAUUCCAGUGUACCUUCCUUGUCAAGAGCUGCUUAAAAUAUUCUCUGGGAAUCCCAGCAUCGAUGAGAAGAUUGAUUCAAGGAUUCGAGGCGAGUUUUACUCUACGUGUAUUUCUUUUAAUGACAUAGAUGAGGCAGAUAAAGCCUUUGAUGAAUUAGAUGGCCAAGAGACUAAGGACUCCAGUGGACGACUCCAGAAAUCGGUGCUCCUGAAGCGUGACAAUGGAGAUGUCGCGGGCUUCUUUGUCCGGAAGAUGGUAUAUGGUUCCCGACUCAGCAAUUCUGAUGUUUUGAAGAAGAGGCCACAGCCUACUGAGAACACGGAGCAAAAGAAAGAAGAUGCCAAUGGGGAUAAGCGAAAAAGGCAAAGAACUAGCAAGAAGCAUGCGGAGAAAGCAAAGGCACUGGUUGUCGAGUGA